UACGAAGGGGGCUAGCGUUGCUCGGAAUCACUGAGCGUAAAGGGUGCGCAGGCGGCCGUGUGUGUCAGGUGUGAAAGCCCGGAGCUUAACUCCGGAAUUGCGCCUGAAACUACAUGGCUAGAGCAUUGGAGAGGGUAGCGGAAUUCACGGUGUAGCAGUGAAAUGCGUAGAUAUCGGAAGGAACACCAGUGGCGAAAGCGGCUUCCUGGUCCGACACCGACGUUCAGGCACGAAAGCGUGGGGAGCAAACAGG
This 253-nucleotide ribosomal RNA is filed under the name uncultured bacterium. Its description in RNAcentral is "partial 16S ribosomal RNA". It matches the Rfam family "Bacterial small subunit ribosomal RNA", at positions 524 to 776 of the family's 1533-position model. The record is from RNAcentral.